RNAcentral lists this ribosomal RNA (253 nucleotides) under uncultured bacterium. Its description in RNAcentral is "partial 16S ribosomal RNA". It matches the Rfam family "Bacterial small subunit ribosomal RNA", at positions 524 to 776 of the family's 1533-position model. The record is from RNAcentral.
UACGGAGGGUGCGAGCGUUGUUCGGAAUUACUGGGCGUAAAGGGCGCGUAGGCGGCGACCCAAGUCAGAUGUGAAAGUCCUGGGCUUAACCUGGGGACUGCAUUUGAUACUGGGUUGCUUGAAUUCGGGAGAGGAUAGCGGAAUUCCCAGUGUAGAGGUGAAAUUCGUAGAUAUUGGGAAGAACACCGGUGGCGAAGGCGGCUAUCUGGACCGACAUUGACGCUGAGGCGCGAAAGCGUGGGGAGCAAACAGG